Apodemus sylvaticus (European woodmouse) is the source of this 624-nucleotide long non-coding RNA. RefSeq lists it as uncharacterized. NCBI's taxonomy places the organism in Eukaryota, Metazoa, Chordata, Mammalia, Rodentia, Muridae. The record is from RefSeq and is a predicted model, not a curated record. The transcript is spliced from 2 exons.
UGUGAAGCAAGCCUGAAAUCCUUAUUCGUAUCACCAAGGCGAAGCUGUUUCAACUGUCACAGGAGCCGCUUUCCCACACCUUAUCACUUCAUUACAGUUCCAGAAGAAAUAGGCAAAGCAUGGUAGCCAGUGGCCGGAGCAGAAAACUGAGAGAUCACACCUGCAGCCACAAACAGGAAGCAGAGAGAGUUCACUGGAAAUGGGGCAAGGCUAGACACCCUCAAAGCCUGUCCCCUCCUCCUGACAUACUUCCUCCAAUGAGGCUCCUCUUCCUAAAGGUUCCAUAACCUUCCUGAACAGCACCACCAACCAAGAGCCAAGUGUUCAUAUACCUGAGACUGUGGGAGACAUUUCUCAUCCAAACCACCCCAGGAGAAGAAGACUCAUAUAACUUCAUUAGCAACUUUGUAACAAGAGCCCCUAGUUAGCAUGCUUGUUCUAUGUCAACAUGUGAUAUGAUGCAGGAAGAACACUCUAGCCAGACCUUGGGCACAUGUGGUACCAAGCUCUUCAACUUCCCAGUCUAUAGAACCACCAGUCAAAUAAACUCUUCUUUGUAAAUUACCCAGCCUUGGGCGUUUUGCUACAGCAACAGAAAAUAAACUAAAGAGAUCUUUGUUUCCA